AGAGAAUAAUUUUUAGGGUGAAGUAGGUGAAACUCCUACGCUGUGCCGCAACUGUUAAAGUCAGAGCCCCGUUCCCU
Molecule: non-coding RNA, 77 nt
Filed under: Candidatus Microgenomatota
Lineage: Bacteria
Source: RNAcentral